Molecule: ribosomal RNA, 376 nt
Filed under: uncultured Legionella sp.
Lineage: Bacteria; Pseudomonadati; Pseudomonadota; Gammaproteobacteria; Legionellales; Legionellaceae
Description: bacterial SSU rRNA
Rfam family: Bacterial small subunit ribosomal RNA
Source: RNAcentral
GUAGCUGGUCUGAGAGGAUGRCCAGCCACACUGGAACUGAGACACGGUCCAGACUCCUACGGGAGGCAGCAGUGGGGAAUAUUGGACAAUGGGGGAAACCCUGAUCCAGCAAUGCCGCGUGUGUGAAGAAGGCCUGAGGGUUGUAAAGCACUUUCAGUGGGGAGGAGGAUUGMUAGGUUAAGAGCUAGUUAAUUGGACGUUACCCACAGAAGAAGCACCGGCUAACUCCGUGCCAGCAGCCGCGGUAAUACGGAGGGUGCRAGCGUUAAUCGGAAUUACUGGGCGUAAAGGGUGCGUAGGUGGUUAGGUAAGUUAUCUGUGAAAUCCCCGGGCUUAACCUGGGAAGGUCAGAUAAGACUGGUGGACUCGAGUAUGG